RNAcentral lists this ribosomal RNA (253 nucleotides) under uncultured bacterium. RNAcentral describes it as "partial 16S ribosomal RNA". It matches the Rfam family "Bacterial small subunit ribosomal RNA", at positions 524 to 776 of the family's 1533-position model. The record is from RNAcentral.
UACGUAGGGGGCUAGCGUUGUCCGGAAUCAUUGGGCGUAAAGCGCGUGUAGGCGGUCCGGUAAGUCCGCUGUGAAAGUCGGGGGCUCAACCCUCGAAAGCCGGUGGAUACUGUCGGGCUAGAGUGCGGAAGGGGCGAGUGGAACUCCUGGUGUAGCGGUGAAAUGCGCAGAUAUCAGGAAGAACACCUAUGGCGAAGGCAGCUCGCUGGGACGGUACCGACGCUGAGGCGCGAAAGCGUGGGGAGCAAACAGG